Molecule: ribosomal RNA, 1341 nt
Filed under: uncultured bacterium
Lineage: Bacteria
Description: 16S ribosomal RNA
Rfam family: Bacterial small subunit ribosomal RNA
Source: RNAcentral
GACGAACGCUGGCGGCGUGCUUAACACAUGCAAGUCGAACGGUAAGGCUCCAGCUUGCUGGGGUACACGAGUGGCGAACGGGUGAGUAACACGUGGGUGACCUGCCCUGCACUUCGGGAUAAGCCUGGGAAACUGGGUCUAAUACCGGAUAGGACCGCACCGUGAGGGUGUGGUGGAAAGUUUUUUCGGUGUGGGAUGGGCCCGCGGCCUAUCAGCUUGUUGGUGGGGUAAUGGCCUACCAAGGCGGCGACGGGUAGCCGGCCUGAGAGGGUGGACGGCCACAUUGGGACUGAGACACGGCCCAGACUCCUACGGGAGGCAGCAGUGGGGAAUAUUGCACAAUGGGCGGAAGCCUGAUGCAGCGACGCCGCGUGGGGGAUGACGGCCUUCGGGUUGUAAACUCCUUUCACCAUCGACGAAGGGUUUCUGACGGUAGAUGGAGAAGAAGCACCGGCUAACUACGUGCCAGCAGCCGCGGUAAUACGUAGGGUGCGAGCGCUGUCCGGAAUUACUGGGCGUAAAGAGCUCGUAGGUGGUUUGUCGCGUCGUCUGUGAAAUUCCGGGGCUUAACUCCGGGCGUGCAGGCGAUACGGGCAUAACUUGAGUACUGUAGGGGAGACUGGAAUUCCUGGUGUAGCGGUGAAAUGCGCAGAUAUCAGGAGGAACACCGGUGGCGAAGGCGGGUCUCUGGGCAGUAACUGACGCUGAGGAGCGAAAGCAUGGGGAGCGAACAGGAUUAGAUACCCUGGUAGUCCAUGCCGUAAACGGUGGGCGCUAGGUGUGGGUUUCCUUCCACGGGAUCCGUGCCGUAGCUAACGCAUUAAGCGCCCCGCCUGGGGAGUACGGCCGCAAGGCUAAAACUCAAAGGAAUUGACGGGGGCCCGCACAAGCGGCGGAGCAUGUGGAUUAAUUCGAUGCAACGCGAAGAACCUUACCUGGGCUUGACAUAUACAGGAUCGCGCCAGAGAUGGUGUUUCCCUUGUGGCUUGUAUACAGGUGGUGCAUGGUUGUCGUCAGCUCGUGUCGUGAGAUGUUGGGUUAAGUCCCGCAACGAGCGCAACCCUUGUCUUAUGUUGCCAGCACGUUGUGGUGGGGACUCGUAAGAAACUGCCGGGGUUAACUCGGAGGAAGGUGGGGAUGACGUCAAAUCAUCAUGCCCCUUAUGUCCAGGGCUUCACACAUGCUACAAUGGUCGGUACAGUGGGUUGCCAGUCCGUGAGGGCGAGCUAAUCCCGCAAAGCCGGUCUCAGUUCGGAUCGGGGUCUGCAACUCGACCCCGUGAAGUCGGAGUCGCUAGUAAUCGCAGAUCAGCAACGCUGCGGUGAAUACGUUCCCGGGCCU